This 76-nucleotide transfer RNA is filed under the name Parenemella sanctibonifatiensis. Its description in RNAcentral is "Propionibacteriaceae bacterium NML 150081 tRNA-Thr". It matches the Rfam family "tRNA". Rfam says of the family: Transfer RNA (tRNA) molecules are approximately 80 nucleotides in length. Their secondary structure includes four short double-helical elements and three loops (D, anti-codon, and T loops). The record is from RNAcentral. Lineage: Bacteria; Bacillati; Actinomycetota; Actinomycetes; Propionibacteriales; Propionibacteriaceae.
GCCGCUUUAGCUCAGGUGGUAGAGCGACGCUCUCGUAAAGCGUAGGUCACCAGUUCGAAUCUGGUAAGCGGCUCCA